Molecule: unclassified non-coding RNA, 166 nt
Filed under: uncultured Helotiales
Lineage: Eukaryota; Fungi; Ascomycota; Leotiomycetes; Helotiales
Description: sequence contains ITS1
Source: RNAcentral
AAAGAGGAAAGCUCCCGGCGAAAGCUGGGUGCGACCUUAACCCUUGCUUAUUAUACCUUCGUUGCUUUGGCAGACGCCUGCAAAGGCCCGUGGCUUCGGCUGCGGCGCGCUGCCAGAGGACCACAACUCUUGUUUUUAGUGAUGUCUGAGUACUAUAUAAUAGUUA